Molecule: ribosomal RNA, 468 nt
Filed under: uncultured bacterium
Lineage: Bacteria
Description: partial 16S ribosomal RNA
Rfam family: Bacterial small subunit ribosomal RNA
Source: RNAcentral
GAUGAACGCUGGCGGCGUGCUUAACACAUGCAAGUCGAACGAACAGGUCCUGCUUUUGUUGGGUGCUCGAUUGCCGAACGGGUGAGUAACACGUGAGUAACAUGCCCUUGUCUUUGGGAUAACUUCAGGAAACUGGGGAUCAUACCGGAUAGGAUAUCUUGCUGCAUGGUGGGGGUUGGUAAGUUUCGGCGGUUGGGGAUGGACUAGCGGGUUAUCAGCUUGUUUGUGUGGUUGUGGCUUACCAGGUCUAAGAAGGCUAGGCGGCCUGAGAGGGUUAACAGGGACAUGGGGACUGCGAGACGGACCAAACGGCAAUGUGACGCAGUGGGGGGGAAUAUUGCGGAAUAGGGGGAAGUGUGAUGUAGCAGCGCCGCGUGCGUGAUAACGGCUUUCGGGUGAUAAACCGAUGUCUCCGGUGACGUAGCCGGAUUGACGGUAAUGGGUAAAGAAGCACCGGCUAACUACGUG